Molecule: ribosomal RNA, 496 nt
Filed under: Bacillus sp. SD-35
Lineage: Bacteria; Bacillati; Bacillota; Bacilli; Caryophanales; Bacillaceae
Description: partial 16S ribosomal RNA
Rfam family: Bacterial small subunit ribosomal RNA
Source: RNAcentral
CAUGCAGUCGAGCGGAAUUUUGAAAAGCUUGCUUUUCNAAACUUAGCGNNGGACGAGGUGAGUAACACGUGGGCAACCUGCCCUUGAGACGGGGAUAACUCCNGGAAACCGGAGCUAAUACCGGAUAACACAUAUCUUCNCAUGANGAUAUGUUANAAGGUGGCUUUUAGCUACCACUCAAGGAUGGGCCCGCGGCGCAUUANCUAGUUGGUGAGGUAACGGCUCACCAAGGCGACGAUGCGUANCCGACCUGAGAGGGUGAUCGGCCACACUGGGACUGANACACGGCCCAGACUCCUACGGGAGGCAGCAGUAGGGAAUCUUCCGCAAUGGACGAAAGUCUGACGGAGCAACGCCGCGUGAGUGAUGAAGGUUUUCGGAUCGUAAAGCUCUGUUGUUAGGGAAGAACAAGUAUCUGUUGAAUAAGCAGGUACCUUGACGGUACCUAACCAGAAAGCCACGGCUAACUACGUGCCAGCNGCCNCGGUAAUNCAAA